This 119-nucleotide ribosomal RNA is filed under the name Pteropus alecto (black flying fox). The record is from RNAcentral. Lineage: Eukaryota; Metazoa; Chordata; Mammalia; Chiroptera; Pteropodidae.
GUCUACGGCCAUGCCAUUCUGAACAAGUCCGAUCCCAUCUGAUCUUGGAAACUAAGCAAGGUCGAAUUUGGUUAGUACUUGGAUAGGAGACCACCCAGGAAGACCAGGUGCUGUAGGUG